This 64-nucleotide transfer RNA is filed under the name Pseudoniphargus sp. 1-Balearics. RNAcentral describes it as "tRNA-Gly". The record is from RNAcentral. Lineage: Eukaryota; Metazoa; Arthropoda; Malacostraca; Amphipoda; Allocrangonyctidae.
UAAGCUUUAAGUUAUACAAACUAAGAGCCUUCCAAGCUCCCCAAAAGAAAAUUCUUAAGCUUAA